AUGUUGUUUACCCGCUGCCAAUGGAUAUAUGUACAUGUUUGAUACUUUACCGACUUUUACCCAUAUCAGAUCUUUUUGUGACCAUUACCGUUUGUGUCCUGAGAAGGUGUACCAAUGACGAGCGGAUUCAAUAUCUUCCGAAUAUCAACCUGCAAAUGGAAUGUCGUUAUAAACCGUAAACGCGCGCGCAGUAGAGAUGGGCGUUAUAAUAUAUUUCCAUAUUUUAUCAGACUUAUUUUAUCAUUGUAAUCGUUGAUGUCUAUGGUUUCUUAUAUUUUACAGGACUUCUUACAUCAGAAAAUCUUACAGAUUUUCUUUACAUUGCACGUACGUGGAAUGUAACGUACAAUGUAAAUAUACGGAGUCUUGUAAAUUUAUUAUUGAAUAAACAUAUAGAGGGUAUUGUGUAUAUAUACAUGCGGAUGAUAUAAUUACUAAUAAAUUAAAUCAAAUAAUCGUAAUAGUGAGGCAAUCGUUCAGUAAGAUAUAAAUCUACCUACAUUUAACAUCAACGAAUUUUCAUUGCAAAUGUGCUUAUAAAUUAGAAUGUAUUGUGUAUUUGGCAUGUAGAUACGCUCUAUACAUGUUCCAGAAUAUUUAAUAUGGAAUGUUUUAUUUAUUAUACAUACAUAUUACAUAGUUUAUCUAAGUGCAUUUUACAUUAGGAUAUUCAGACACUGGAAAAAAAGAAUUUUAUAUAAUCAAGUGAAUAGAUUGCUUUAAAAGAGCGUACAUGUGCAUAUAAGGGCCAGCAAUCCUGAAGUUUCCUACCGGAAGAUAACAAAGAUUACGAUAUUACAAGGAUUUAUGAUAUUAAUAAGGCAACUAUAUAAUUUCGAUUUUUCUCCGGAAGAUUUACAAACAGAUAAACGAAAUGUGCAAAAUUCAAAAAAUUUGAUAUAUACAAUAACCCCACGCAAUAUACACGUUUCAAGGAUGAUUUAAAGACGUUCAAAGAACAUCCUAUCUUUUUGGACGUCUUUGAAACAUGCGUAUUAUGUGAGAAUAAAUCAGUAAAAUCCCUGUGCAGAACAUAUAUCAUAAAUAAUCUAUUGUUAAUGACAAAAUAAGACAAAUAUUAAUAAAUAUAAUUGAUAAUAAACGAAUACAAGUAAAUUAUUGAGAUUAUAAUCUACACAAUAGGAACAGCUAGAUUUCAUAUCUUUUAUUGCUGGAUUGUGUCAUUAUAUUUAGAUUAACAUGUAUAUUGCUUGAUCUAUCGAACGGUCAUAUUACGCAGCAAUUCGUCACAUCGGU
This is a long non-coding RNA of Harpegnathos saltator (Jerdon's jumping ant), 1257 nucleotides long. RefSeq lists it as uncharacterized. The record is from RefSeq and is a predicted model, not a curated record. Lineage: Eukaryota; Metazoa; Arthropoda; Insecta; Hymenoptera; Formicidae. The transcript is spliced from 2 exons.